RNAcentral lists this ribosomal RNA (253 nucleotides) under uncultured bacterium. Its description in RNAcentral is "partial 16S ribosomal RNA". It matches the Rfam family "Bacterial small subunit ribosomal RNA", at positions 524 to 776 of the family's 1533-position model. The record is from RNAcentral.
UACGAAGGGGGCUAGCGUUGUUCGGAAUCACUGGGCGUAAAGGGCGCGUAGGCGGCUGUGGCAGUCGGGUGUGAAAGCCCGGAGCUCAACUCCGGAAUGGCACUCGAGACGCCACGGCUGGAGGCCGGAAGAGGAGGGUGGAAUACCCAGUGUAGAGGUGAAAUUCGUAGAUAUUGGGUGGAACACCGGUGGCGAAAGCGGCUCUCUGGUCCGGACCUGACGCUGAGGCGCGAAAGCGUGGGGAGCAAACAGG